Molecule: ribosomal RNA, 488 nt
Filed under: forest soil bacterium 4S2.G11
Lineage: Bacteria
Description: bacterial SSU rRNA
Rfam family: Bacterial small subunit ribosomal RNA
Source: RNAcentral
AGUCGAGCGGCAGCACGGGUACUUGUACCUGGUGGCGAGCGGCGGACGGGUGAGUAAUGCCUAGGAAUCUGCCUGGUAGUGGGGGAUAACGCUCGGAAACGGACGCUAAUACCGCAUACGUCCUACGGGAGAAAGCAGGGGACCUUCGGGCCUUGCGCUAUCAGAUGAGCCUAGGUCGGAUUAGCUAGUUGGUGAGGUAAUGGCUCACCAAGGCGACGAUCCGUAACUGGUCUGAGAGGAUGAUCAGUCACACUGGAACUGAGACACGGUCCAGACUCCUACGGGAGGCAGCAGUGGGGAAUAUUGGACAAUGGGCGAAAGCCUGAUCCAGCCAUGCCGCGUGUGUGAAGAAGGUCUUCGGAUUGUAAAGCACUUUAAGUUGGGAGGAAGGGCAUUAACCUAAUACGUUGGUGUCUUGACGUUACCGACAGAAUAAGCACCGGCUAACUCUGUGCCAGCAGCCGCGGUAAUACAGAGGGUGCAAGCGU